UGUUGUUGUCUGAUGUUGAGUGGUCUGUUCUGCUGUUGCCUUUGGAAUACUCUGCCUGUGCUCUGGAUUAUCUUUUCCUUUACCUUGUGAUCCCAUGUAAGCUUGUCUCAGGUUUAUAAAAGGCCAUUUCAGACGGCUUGGAUCCGCGGGGUCGCUCUGCGCUCAGGCAAACAACCGCUUCGUGAGAUAGAGCGCCUCCUGCUGCAUGAAGUUGUUGUAGCAGCGCUGAGUCAGCUGACCAGACCAGAGCUCCUUGAGGAAGGAGGACGAGCGGAGAAUCUCCUCCGCCAACAAGUAGCUGUUGCCCCACACAACAUCAAACAGACUCAGAACGGGAACGAUGCCUCAGAUAAAGAGGGGAAGAAAAUCAAAAUGUUGUUGCUAUGUGAUGUUUAAUAGUCCUGCACAGGGAUGUGCACAAAUAUUUUUGGGGACGGGGGCUCAAGUGUAUAAAAGUUAAAUAUAUUAACACAACUUUGAA
This is a long non-coding RNA of Micropterus dolomieu (smallmouth bass), 481 nucleotides long. RefSeq lists it as uncharacterized. Lineage: Eukaryota; Metazoa; Chordata; Actinopteri; Centrarchiformes; Centrarchidae. The record is from RefSeq and is a predicted model, not a curated record. The transcript is spliced from 3 exons.